GUGCUUCAGCAGCACAUAUACUAAAAUUGGAAUGAUACAAAGAAGAUUAGCAUGGCCCCUGUGCAAGGGUGACACGCAAAUUUGUGAAGCAUUCCAUAUUUUU
RNAcentral lists this small nuclear RNA (103 nucleotides) under Echinops telfairi (small Madagascar hedgehog). The record is from RNAcentral. Lineage: Eukaryota; Metazoa; Chordata; Mammalia; Afrosoricida; Tenrecidae.